RNAcentral lists this ribosomal RNA (253 nucleotides) under uncultured bacterium. RNAcentral's name for it is "partial 16S ribosomal RNA". It matches the Rfam family "Bacterial small subunit ribosomal RNA", at positions 524 to 776 of the family's 1533-position model. The record is from RNAcentral.
UACGUAGGGUGCGAGCGUUAAUCGGAAUUACUGGACGUAAAGUGUGCGCAGGCGGCCGAGCAAGUCGAGUGUGAAAGCCCCGAGCUUAACUUGGGAAUUGCGCUCGAAACUACUUGGCUGGAGUGUGGCAGAGGAAGGUGGAAUUCCAGGCGUAGCGGUGAAAUGCGUAGAGAUCUGGAGGAACACCGAUGGCGAAGGCAGCCUUCUGGGCCAACACUGACGCUCAUGCACGAAAGCGUGGGGAGCAAACAGG